This is a non-coding RNA of Schistosoma mansoni, 286 nucleotides long. The record is from Rfam. NCBI's taxonomy places the organism in Eukaryota, Metazoa, Platyhelminthes, Trematoda, Strigeidida, Schistosomatidae.
ACUCUAGUCCGACUUUGUGAGGAGACAUGAUGGAUGUAGUAUAGGUGGGAGCUGGGUGCUUCGGUGUCCAACGCAAAUGAAAUACCACUGCUAUCAUUGUUUCUUUACUUAUUCAGUGAAACGAGAACGAAAUUGUAUUUUGGUUCAAAGCACAUUUCGGGGUGCGUGGUCUAUCGCUGCGUGCUUCGAUAUCUUGGUCAUGUCAGAUGAGUCGUGGUGCAAAUUGCGGUGUUUGAGUCUUGAUGUGAUGUGCGACCCGUUCUGAAGACCAUGUCAGGCGGGGAGU